CGAAAGCCUGACGGAGCAAGACCGCGUGAGGGAGGAAGGCUCUUGGGUUGUAAACCUCUUUUCUCAGGGAAGAAGCUCUGACGGUACCUGAGGAAUCAGCCUCGGCUAACUCCGUGCCAGCAGCCGCGGUAAUACGGAGGAGGCAAGCGUUAUCCGGAAUUAUUGGGCGUAAAGCGUCCGCAGGUGGCUUAGCAAGUCUGCUGUUAAGGACCGAAGCUCAACUUCGGGCAGGCGGUGGAAACUGCUAGGCUAGAGGCCGGUAGGGGUAGAGGGAAUUCCCAGUGUAGCGGUGAAAUGCGUAGAGAUUGGGAAGAACAUCGGUGGCGAAAGCGCUCUACUGGACGGCAACUGACACUCAGGGACGAAAGCUAGGGGAGCG
This 379-nucleotide ribosomal RNA is filed under the name uncultured cyanobacterium. RNAcentral describes it as "bacterial SSU rRNA". It matches the Rfam family "Bacterial small subunit ribosomal RNA", at positions 376 to 770 of the family's 1533-position model. The record is from RNAcentral. Lineage: Bacteria; Bacillati; Cyanobacteriota.